Molecule: ribosomal RNA, 484 nt
Filed under: uncultured bacterium
Lineage: Bacteria
Description: partial 16S ribosomal RNA
Rfam family: Bacterial small subunit ribosomal RNA
Source: RNAcentral
AUUGAACGCUGGCGGCAUGCUUUACACAUGCAAGUCGAACGGCAGCGCGGGCUUCGGCCUGGCGGCGAGUGGCGAACGGGUGAGUAAUACAUCGGAACGUGCCCAGUAGUUGGGGAUAGCUCGGCGAAAGCCGGAUUAAUACCGCAUACGACCUGAUGGUGAAAGCGGGGGAUCUUCGGACCUCGCGCUAUUGGAGCGGCCGAUGGCAGAUUAGCUAGUUGGUGGGGUAAAGGCCUACCAAGGCGACGAUCUGUAGCUGGUCUGAGAGGACGACCAGCCACACUGGGACUGAGACACGGCCCAGACUCCUACGGGAGGCAGCAGUGGGGAAUUUUGGACAAUGGGCGAAAGCCUGAUCCAGCAAUGCCGCGUGUGUGAUGAAGGCCUUCGGGUUGUAAAGCACUUUUGGCGGGAACGAAAAGGACUGUGCCAAUACCACGGUUCGAUGACGGUACCCGAAGAAUAAGCACCGGCUAACUACGUG